This 979-nucleotide ribosomal RNA is filed under the name Ruminobacillus xylanolyticum. RNAcentral's name for it is "bacterial SSU rRNA". It matches the Rfam family "Bacterial small subunit ribosomal RNA", at positions 18 to 989 of the family's 1533-position model. The record is from RNAcentral.
CAUGGCUCAGGAUGAACGCUAGCGAUAGGCCUAACACAUGCAAGUCGAGGGGCAUCACAUGAAGUAGCAAUACGGAUGGUGGCGACCGGCGCACGGGUGAGUAACACGUAUGCAACCUGCCUUCAACAAGGGGAUAACCCGUUGAAAGACGGACUAAUACCCUAUAACACAGGGGCCCCGCAUGGGGAUAUUUGUUAAAGAUUAAUCGGUUGAAGAUGGGCAUGCGUUCCAUUAGCUAGUUGGUGGGGUAAUGGCCCACCAAGGCAACGAUGGAUAGGGGAACUGAGAGGUUUAUCCCCCACACUGGUACUGAGACACGGACCAGACUCCUACGGGAGGCAGCAGUGAGGAAUAUUGGUCAAUGGACGCAAGUCUGAACCAGCCACGUCGCGUGAAGGAAGACGGCCCUACGGGUUGUAAACUUCUUUUGCAAGGGAAUAAAGUGAGUCACGUGUGACUUUUUGCAAGUACCUUGCGAAUAAGGAUCGGCUAACUCCGUGCCAGCAGCCGCGGUAAUACGGAGGAUCCGAGCGUUAUCCGGAUUUAUUGGGUUUAAAGGGUGCUCAGGCGGGCGAUUAAGUCGGCGGUGAAAUUUUGCGGCUCAACCGUAAAAGUGCCUUCGAAACUGGUUGCCUUGAGUGUGGAUGAGGUAGGCGGAAUUUGUGGUGUAGCGGUGAAAUGCAUAGAUAUCACGAGGAACUCCGAUUGCGCAGGCAGCUUACUAAGCCAUAACUGACGCUCAAGCACGAAGGCGUGGGGAUCAAACAGGAUUAGAUACCCUGGUAGUCCACGCAGUAAACGAUGAUUACUGGCUGUUUGCGAUAUAAUGUAAGCGGCUGAGCGAAAGCGUUAAGUAAUCCACCUGGGGAGUACGUUCGCAAGAAUGAAACUCAAAGGAAUUGACGGGGGCCCGCACAAGCGGAGGAACAUGUGGUUUAAUUCGAUGAUACGCGAGGAACCUUACCCGGGCUUGAAAUGC